UACGUAGAGACCGAGCGUUGUUCGGAUUUACUGGGCGUAAAGGGCGCGUAGGCGGCUUAACAAGUCACUUGUGAAAUCUCCGGGCUUAACUCGGAACGGCCAAGUGAAACUGUCAAGCUAGAGUGCAGAAGGGGCAAUCGGAAUUCUUGGUGUAGCGGUGAAAUGCGUAGAUAUCAAGAGGAACACCCUGAGGUGAAGACGGGUUGCUGGGCUGACACUGACGCUGAGGCGCGAAAGCCAGGGGAGCAAACGGG
Molecule: ribosomal RNA, 254 nt
Filed under: uncultured bacterium
Lineage: Bacteria
Description: partial 16S ribosomal RNA
Rfam family: Bacterial small subunit ribosomal RNA
Source: RNAcentral